UUAAAUUGAAGGGUUUGAUCAUGGCUCAGAUUGAACGCUGGCGGCAGGCCUAACACAUGCAAGUCGAACGGUAACAGGAAACAGCUUGCUGUUUCGCUGACGAGUGGCGGACGGGUGAGUAA
RNAcentral lists this ribosomal RNA (122 nucleotides) under Escherichia coli. RNAcentral describes it as "partial 16S ribosomal RNA". It matches the Rfam family "Bacterial small subunit ribosomal RNA", at positions 1 to 113 of the family's 1533-position model. Lineage: Bacteria; Pseudomonadati; Pseudomonadota; Gammaproteobacteria; Enterobacterales; Enterobacteriaceae. The record is from RNAcentral.